Molecule: ribosomal RNA, 422 nt
Filed under: uncultured bacterium
Lineage: Bacteria
Description: bacterial SSU rRNA
Rfam family: Bacterial small subunit ribosomal RNA
Source: RNAcentral
UGAGGAAUAUUGGUCAAUGGGCGAAAGCCUGAACCAGCCAAGUCGCGUGAAGGACGAAGGCCCUAUGGGUCGUAAACUUCUUUUGGACGGGAGUAAAAUCAGGGAUGUAUCCCUGAUUGCAAGUACCGUCAGAAUCAGCAUCGGCUAACUCCGUGCCAGCAGCCGCGGUAAUACGGAGGAUGCAAGCGUUGUUCGGAAUUACUGGGCGUAAAGCGCACGCAGGCGGCGUGACGCGUCAGAAGUGAAAUCCCCGGGCUCAACCUGGGAACUGCUUUUGAAACGGUCAUGCUUGAAUCAUGGAGAGGGUAGCGGAAUUCCGAGUGUAGAGGUGAAAUUCGUAGAUAUUCGGAAGAACACCGGUGGCGAAGGCGGCUACCUGGCCAUGUAUUGACGCUCAGGUGCGAAAGCGUGGGGAGCAAACA